GACGAACGCUGGCGGCGUGCUUAACACAUGCAAGUCGAACGGAAAGGCCCUGCUUGCAGGGUACUCGAGUGGCCAACGGGUGAGUAACACGUGGGUGAUCUGCCCUGCACUUCGGGAUAAGCCUGGGAAACUGGGUCUAAUACCGGAUAGGAGCCAUCUUUAGUGUGAUGGUUGGAAAGUUUUUUCGGUGUAGGAUGAGCUCGCGGCCUAUCAGCUUGUUGGUGGGGUAAUGGCCUACCAAGGCGGCGACGGGUAGCCGGCCUGGGAGGGUGGACGGCCACAUUGGGGCUGAGAUACGGCCCAGACUCCUACGGGGGGCAGCAGGGGGGAAUAUUGCACAAUGGGCGCAAGCCUGAUGCAGCGACGCCGCGGGGGGGAUGACGGCCUUCGGGUUGUAAACUCCUUUCGCUAGGGACGAAGCUGUGUGUGACGGUACCUAGAUAAGAAGCACCGGCUAACUACGUG
RNAcentral lists this ribosomal RNA (465 nucleotides) under uncultured bacterium. RNAcentral describes it as "partial 16S ribosomal RNA". It matches the Rfam family "Bacterial small subunit ribosomal RNA", at positions 28 to 507 of the family's 1533-position model. The record is from RNAcentral.